RNAcentral lists this ribosomal RNA (1407 nucleotides) under metagenome. Its description in RNAcentral is "bacterial LSU rRNA". It matches the Rfam family "Bacterial large subunit ribosomal RNA", at positions 1277 to 2800 of the family's 2925-position model. The record is from RNAcentral.
UUAGAUCAGAAGCGAGAAUGUUGACAUGAGUAGCGAUAAAGAGGGUGAGAGACCCUCUCGCCAUAAGUCCAAGGGUUCCUGCUUAAAGCUAAUCUGAGCAGGGUAAGCCGGCCCCUAAGGCGAGGCCGAAAGGCGUAGUCGAUGGGAACCACGUUAAUAUUCGUGGGCCAGGAGGAAGUGACGGAUCUCGAAGGUAGUUUGCCCUUAUCGGAUUGGGUGGGCUGCUCAGAGGUUCCAGGAAAUAGCCCUCCAUCAGACCGUACCCUAAACCGACACAGGUGGACUGGUAGAGUAUACCAAGGCGCUUGAGAGAACCACGUUAAAGGAACUCGGCAAAAUGCCUCCGUAAGUUCGCGAGAAGGAGGCCCCAUAUCUGGGCAACCAGGUGUGGGGGGCACAAACUAGGGGGUGGCGACUGUUUACUUAAAACACAGGGCUGUGCGAAGCCGUAAGGCGACGUAUACAGUCUGACGCCUGCCCGGUGCUGGAAGGUUAAAAGGAGGGGUGCAAGCUCUGAAUUGAAGCCCCAGUAAACGGCGGCCGUAACGAUAACGGUCCUAAGGUAGCGAAAUUCCUUGUCGGGUAAGUUCCGACCUGCACGAAUGGCGUAACGAUCUCCCCGCUGUCUCUAACGUGGACUCAGCGAAAUUGAACUGUGUGUCAAGAUGCACACUACCCGCGGUUAGACGGAAAGACCCCAUGCACCUUUACUCCAGCUUUGCACUGGUAUCAGGAUUGUGAUGUGCAGGAUAGGUGGUAGGCAUCGAAGCGGGGACGCCAGUUCUCGUGGAGCCUCCCUUGAGAUACCACCCUUCGCCAUCUUGAUAUCUAACCGCGGCCCGUUAUCCGGGUCCGGGACCCUGCAUGGUGGGGAGUUUGACUGGGGCGGUCGCCUCCCAAACAGUAACGGAGGCGCGCGAAGGUAGGCUCAGACCGGUCGGAAAUCGGUCGUUGAGUGCAAUGGCAGAAGCCUGCCUGACUGCAAGUCUGACAAGACGAGCAGAGACGAAAGUCGGUCAUAGUGAUCCGGUGGUCCCAAGUGGGAGGGCCAUCGCUCAACGGAUAAAAGGUACGCUGGGGAUAACAGGCUGAUGGUGCCCAAGAGUCCAUAUCGACGGCAUCGUUUGGCACCUCGAUGUCGGCUCAUCUCAUCCUGGGGCUGGAGCAGGUCCCAAGGGUAUGGCUGUUCGCCAUUUAAAGAGGUACGUGAGCUGGGUUUAGAACGUCGUGAGACAGUUCGGUCCCUAUCUGCCGUGGGUGUAGGAGACUUGAGAAGAGUUGCCCCUAGUACGAGAGGACCGGGGUGAACGAACCACUGGUGGACCAGUUGUCGUGCCAACGGCAGUGCUGGGUAGCUAUGUUCGGACAGGAUAACCGCUGAAGGCAUCUAAGCGGGAAGCCCCCUUC